UCCAUUUGACAUCUAAAUGUCAUAGCGACUUUUGGGAUAGUUUGCUAUGGACAAAGGGGGACAAAGUCAAGGGGCGAGGGGGAAGGAGGGCCCAGUAGAGCCUCUACGAUUCUUGGCUGUCUCCUCACCAGCUCCCCUCCCCCCCAAGUCCUGUAAGAAGUUGGGCCAAGCUGGAAGGGAUUGACCGGGUUGCCUGUCGUGAGAUGGAGCCGCCAAGGCAGGGCCUGGGCGCCUGGAGUCCGGCAUGAAAGGAAAUAGCGCCUCAUCGCUCUUAUCUAAGCCCAGAGCCGCCGCCUCCUCGCCCUCGAGGGCCUCUGCGGAGAUUCCAGGCCCUCCAGAGACCCGGACGUCCCUCAGCGCCACCGCCCCUGUGCCAAUGCCGCUGGGAAACCGCCGAGACCCGCACCGGGCAAGAGAACUGCAGGGGGCCAACUGGGGGAGGCCGGAACGAGGGAGGGAAGGGGGGAGGGGGCGCACACCCACAGAGGCCAGAGCGACCGGCUUCUGGGCGCCCUGAAGCCCAGACACCCCUAUGCUGUCUUUCGCAGCCCCCUCUCUGGAGCCUCCUCUCUCAGCUUAAAAGGGCGACUUAGAGCUCGCCUCCGUGGCCCCUUUCGGUUCCUCCUCCCAUCUUCCCUGCCUUGGCUCCCCCUCCAGGAAGCAGCCACCCCUCUCUCUUUCUCAGCCACCGAAUUUCCUGGGAAGCCUCUCCCUGCAGCGCCCAGAGAUGGGGUUCAGCCCCGUCUUGGGGUGGGGGGAGAGGGAGACAAACCUAAGCCCCACCCCCUCCAAAAUCGAUGCAAAAGAAUAAGAAUUGUAGAAUCUCCCUUACCUUUGUAGACCUUGGGAUUUCUUCCCUCCGAUUGAAAGGGGUGAAGAGGAAGGGGGGGGGGAAGCGUUCUGUUUCUUCUUCAUCUUCCAGAUAAUAUUGUCCCAACCUGAGAGCCGUCGCUUCCCCUUCUCUGACUUGGGAGAGAGGGUGUUUCGCUUUUCUGAUAUUUGCAUAGAAAAUGGAGUAAGUUCUGGCUUUGAAAAAUGGUAUCAGGCUGCAGUCCUGGGCAGAUUGUCCAUUUACCCUCCAUGAUGACUAAAAUCCCAGAUCAGCAAGCAAAUCAACUUAGAAAUUAAAAUUAUUUUUGGUUCUCUCUUUUGUGUAAUUCCCACCCCUCCUUCUUUCUCUCUUUCUCUCUCUCUCUCUCUCUCUCUCUCUCUCUCCCUCCUUUCCCUCUCUCUUCCUCUCUCUCUUUUGCUUUAUCGAGCUGAUAUUGAAGUAUAAAAAUAUCAAGAGGCUGGAGCCCUGAAGGACGACAGUGCUCCGACCUAGGUGUGGUGUCCAAAAGAAUGCUGCAUUAUAACCACCAGGGAAAUGAUAAAAAGUUCAUGUUCACGAUCGCCCGGCCACAUGACCGGCGCCGGCCAAUCGCUGGAUUCAACCACUCAUAAACUUCUAUCACAAAGUUGUAAAUUUUCAUAAAACAACAAGGAAUUUAUUGCAUUUCUUCAUGGCUGCUCCACCAGCAACCCUUUUCUCGGUCGCCAUCUUCUUUUCUUCUCCUUCUCGCUAUUUGGGGAAACCCCAAUCUGAGAAGGGAUGAGAUUUGGGGUGCAGGGAAUCAGACUGAGGAGCCACAGGGGUCCAUCUGGAGAGGGGAUUCUCUCCAGAACCUCCCUAUUCUCACAGGAGCUCUGCCUCCCUCUUCUAGUAAGAAUUCACCCCAAAUCCUCCACACAGGGGCCAUUCUAAGGCAGUUUUGGGGUGAGUCGGGAGUAACAGCGGGUAUCCAAAAUUGCCACUUGCAUCAAGGCAAAAUGAAGGCUUCAGGGUCCCCUCUCCUCCUCUGAAUGCCCCCCUCAUUCCCAGCCCUCUAGAUGGUGGGACCCCCACCUGUGAGGCGUGUAGCAUUGCGGGUGUGGGGGUCUUAGAUCCCCUAGGGCCUAGUUUUCACCUAGGAAAGAAAGGCGGCCCUGACAGAGGCCAAGGUGGACAGCCUAGCAACCAGAGUCUCGCCUCUGCACCCCAGAAACUGGAAGAGGGUGAAGCCAGAUCCCUGCCUCUUCCACCCAAAUGCCCACAUGCUCAGGUUCCCAAUGACAGCUCCAUGUGCUCUCCAGGGGGUUCUGCGGUCAUUAAUGGGGGAAAGUGCCGGUUCAGGGGGACUUUUACCUACAAAUUCAAAUUAAAGAGAUUCUCCUAAAACGCGCUUCCAUUCAAACCUGCUUCUUUCUUUCUGUCCCAAAACCUGUUCUUUGCAUUUAAAUAAUCCAAGGUCUGUAAUCGAAUAAAUUCUAAAAAUCAGCUCCACAGGUCUAGAUGCGUAGGCACCGUCCUCCAGGUUUAUGUUCCUCAAUCAAGGGGUGUUUUGGAGGAAAAAACCCUACAAAACAAACAAAAAAAUCUCCACCGCCACCAAACAGAAUUCACCCCGUGUUUCCCAGGGCCCCUGAAAUACUGCUGUAUUUUGAAUUGAGCUACCAGCGCCCAAGUGCAGGAAACGAAAUAACAUCCCCCAAAAAACGUUUUCUCUUUUUUCUCUCUUUCUCUGUAUUCCCGAGGAGAUUCCAGGUUGCCGGCAGCGCGGACCGCGGGCAGCAAGGCGCGGAGGGAGCCCGCGGAGCUUGGGCGGGCGGCGCGGCCGGGCUCCGAGCGGCCGGGAUGCGGCCACACCAGCCGGGUAAACUUGCACCGCUCAGACUCUCGUUCUCAGGGCUCAUCCACUCCCCCACCUCCCCACGUAAAAAUUUUAUUUGGAUCGCUGUGUUAAUUUAGAAUGAGAUAAAUUAAAGUAAAUGAAAGCAAAAUGAGUUGCAAUAAAGUCACCGAAUAGCUCUUGCGGAAGAUGCUUGCUCGUUGGGCGGAAGCCGGGAGCGCCCUGGCGUUGGAGGCCUCUUCGGGCAGGCGGUGUCUGCUAGCCGCCCCGCUUCUGCCCAACGCUGCCCGCCCCACCCCCAGAAGCGGGAGUGGAUCUGGGUGGUCACCUUCCCU
Long non-coding RNA from Canis lupus familiaris (dog), 2983 nucleotides. RefSeq lists it as uncharacterized. Lineage: Eukaryota; Metazoa; Chordata; Mammalia; Carnivora; Canidae. The record is from RefSeq and is a predicted model, not a curated record. The transcript is spliced from 3 exons.